CUACGUCACACGGCCUAGUUAGACUUAAAAAGUAACAAAAAAUGUCUUUAUUAACACGAGAUAUUUAACGACAUUGGUGCACGGAGUUCUAAUAGAAUUAAUUUAAAGAGGAUUAAAGCCGCAUUUUUUUUGCAUUUUGUCUUUCUGUCCGUCAUGUUAAUAUAAAAAAAAAACAACUAAAAAUUAUUGAAAAUUUAAUUAAGCAUUAAUU
Biomphalaria pfeifferi is the source of this 211-nucleotide non-coding RNA. The record is from the annotation of a GenBank genome assembly. NCBI's taxonomy places the organism in Eukaryota, Metazoa, Mollusca, Gastropoda, Planorbidae.